Non-coding RNA from Oryza meridionalis, 198 nucleotides. The record is from Rfam. Lineage: Eukaryota; Viridiplantae; Streptophyta; Magnoliopsida; Poales; Poaceae.
AAUACUUGCAGUUUUGCACGGUUUAUUUUUAUCGUUUGAUCGUUCGUUUUAUUUGAAAAUUUUUUAUGAUUAGUAUUUUUAUAGUUAUUAGAUGAUAAAAUAUGAAUAGUUGACUAAUUUUUUUAAAAUAAUUCAUAAAUUUUUCAAAUAAACCGGACGGUCAAACGUUGAAUACGGAUACCUACGGCUACACUUAUU